UCAGCUUCCACACAAACCAUGAUCUCCACACCUACACGUCUACUGCUGCUGCUAACAGCUGCAUCCUGUGUUGAAUGUAUUGAGCUGGUUCAGCCUGCUGCCAUGGUUGUUAAACCUGGACAGUCUUUCUCCAUCACUUGUAAGAUUACUGGAUAUACAGCCGUAGGUGGAGGCUACACCAACUGGGUACGACACUCAGCAGGAAAAGCGCCAGAAUGGCUUGGAUGGUUCAAAAGCUCCAGUGAAACUGGGACCAUAGACUCACUUAAGAGCAAGAUCAGCUUCACUGCAGACUCGUCCAGCAACACAGUGCUUUUACAGGGCCAAAGCUUCCAGCCUGAGGACACAGCUGUGUAUUACUGCGCUCGAGAUGCACACUGGUAUAAACUGCCAAGGGACCUGUACAAUAACCCCCUCACACAGGAAACACAAUAG
This is a non-coding RNA of Colossoma macropomum (tambaqui), 435 nucleotides long. Lineage: Eukaryota; Metazoa; Chordata; Actinopteri; Characiformes; Serrasalmidae. The record is from the annotation of a RefSeq genome assembly.